This 261-nucleotide ribosomal RNA is filed under the name uncultured bacterium. Its description in RNAcentral is "partial 16S ribosomal RNA". It matches the Rfam family "Bacterial small subunit ribosomal RNA", at positions 92 to 354 of the family's 1533-position model. The record is from RNAcentral.
UGAGUGGCGGACGGGUGAGUAACGCGUGGGCAACCUGGCCUGUACAGGGGGAUAACACUUAGAAAUAGGUGCUAAUACCGCAUAACGGGGGAAGCCGCAUGGCUUUUCCCUGAAAACUCCGGUGGUACAGGAUGGGCCCGCGUCUGAUUAGCCAGUUGGCAGGGUAACGGCCUACCAGAGCGACGAUCAGUAGCCGGCCUGAGAGGGCGGACGGCCACACUGGGACUGAGACACGGCCCAGACUCCUACGGGAGGCAGCAG